RNAcentral lists this long non-coding RNA (829 nucleotides) under Fukomys damarensis (Damara mole-rat). RNAcentral's name for it is "lncRNA (ENSFDAG00000027413.1)". The record is from RNAcentral. Lineage: Eukaryota; Metazoa; Chordata; Mammalia; Rodentia; Bathyergidae.
CUCCUUGGUUUUUGAAUAAUUUAUUUUAAAAAACUUUUAUUUAUGCUGAGAUAAGGAUCUGCCUGUGGUAUAAAACAUUGUUUAUAAAUAACGAGAGAAUGCCUCUUUUCUUCCAAGGAGCUUCUCACAGUUGCUAUCAAAUGAUGUGUCAGGAUCUCCAGAGAAGCAGCUAUUAACAGUAACAUGAGUGAACGGCACUCAGGGCAGCAUGCAGACAGGUCUGACUCACCUUGUGGUCCUUCCUCACGACCCCGCACAAACAUGUAGGUGACUGCGUCCUUCAUCAGGUGAAACAUUAAAGACUCUUAUGGCCACCCAGUGCAUGACGACAGAGACGGACUGGACCCGUCUCCAGUCCCAUGCCUUUCCCCGCCAUGAAUCACCUCUUAUCUGAUCCGAGGCUCACAAAUAACGUGGCCACUGUGUCUGUCUGUGCGCACCCGCGUAGGCACGUAUGCGCCCAUACGCAUGCGCAGACUUGCAUGGACGAGCACGUAUUUCCGGGCCAGCGCACGCACGAUGCACGCCUUUGCAGGUACGUGCAUGCGCAACGGAUACACCUUCCUGGGCAGUCACAGGCCCUCACCGGAGAAAGCCGCAGCAGCUAGGGCUUCUCAGACCUCUGCCGGCAGAGAAAGAGGGUUCACAGGGUGCUGUGGUCCCAAGAAUCCCAGCUCUUGAGUUUUCUACAGCUGAAGUUCCCAGGCCGUAAGCCCCAAACACGGGGCUGCUGCUCUAGAUGUGCUGUGCCUCCCUGGCAAGGUGAGGAGCGUGAGAGAUGCCACACUGCUGAGUGGGUGGACUGAUCAUUAGAUCUUUGUGUCAGGCA